This 482-nucleotide ribosomal RNA is filed under the name uncultured bacterium. RNAcentral's name for it is "partial 16S ribosomal RNA". It matches the Rfam family "Bacterial small subunit ribosomal RNA", at positions 28 to 507 of the family's 1533-position model. The record is from RNAcentral.
GACGAACGCUGGCGGCGUGCUUAACACAUGCAAGUCGAACGAUGAAGAAGAGAAACGCGAACUUCGGUUCAAAUUUCACUUCGGAUUAGUGGCAGACGGGUGAGUAACGCGUGAGCAACCUACCUCUUACAAAGGGAUAGCCUCGGGAAACCGUGAUUAAUACCAUAUGACACAUUCAUAAGGCAUCUUAAGAAUGUUAAAGCUACGGCGGUAAGAGAUGGGCUCGCGUCCCAUUAGCUAGUUGGUGAGGUAACGGCCCACCAAGGCGACGAUGGGUAACCGGCCUGAGAGGGUGAACGGUCACAUUGGAACUGAGACACGGUCCAAACUCCUACGGGAGGCAGCAGUGGGGAAUAUUGCACAAUGGAGGGAAAUCUGAUGCAGCGACGCCGCGUGAGCGAUGAAGGAAUUCGUGUCGUAAAGCUCUGUUAUAUGGGAAGAAAAGGACUGUACCAUAGGAGAAAGCCCCGGCUAAAUACAUG